Molecule: long non-coding RNA, 604 nt
Organism: Haemorhous mexicanus (house finch)
Lineage: Eukaryota; Metazoa; Chordata; Aves; Passeriformes; Fringillidae
Exons: 2
Source: RefSeq, a predicted model, not a curated record
GGGAGAUUCCGGGCAGGCAGCGAGGACUAUAAAGAGUGGGACUCAGGCACGGGCAAGGCAGAAGCCAUAGAGCGAGCCUGGAGCACUGCACACACCGAGACUGCGCUGGCAGCGAAAAGCUGGCCAGCUCUUCCUCUUCCAGUGCAGAUGUGGACGGGGGACAUGGCCCCGCCGUCUGCUUCCAUGGGUAGAGCCCACAGUCCAGCUGUGAGAUGAAGGACUGAGACCUCGCUGUUGCUUCUUCUUUCUCCCAGUUGCACCACUGCCCUCCACCCACUGGAGGAAGCCGCAGCAUGGAGGGGGAGCAGCCUUAGCUCUGCUCGGAAAGGAAGCAGGAGGGAGACAGCAGGAGGUCAGCGAGAGUUGGCAGCAACAUUAUCUGCUUUCCAGCUGGGGUGGGACACUUCUGCUGGCAAAGAGGAGCUCUGCCAUCCCUCUUCUCACAGGAGUGUUUCAUGGUUGGGAGGUACCAAAUAACUCCCGUAAAAUGCUGUCCCAGGUACACUCUGCUUCAUGCUGCCGAUGGGACAGGAAUUUUGGUAUUUCUCCAACAAGGUUACUGCCUGUCUUGUCCAAAACAACAAAAUAAAUAAAGCCAUGUCUA